UACGAAGGGGGCUAGCGUUGUUCGGAAUUACUGGGAGUAAAGCGCACGUAGGCGGAUACUUAAGUCAGGGGUGAAAUCCCGGGGCUCAACCCCGGAACUGCCUUUGAUACUGGGUAUCUCGAGUCCGGAAGAGGUGAGUGGAAUUCCGAGUGUAGAGGUGAAAUUCGUAGAUAUUCGGAGGAACACCAGUGGCGAAGGCGGCUCACUGGUCCGGUACUGACGCUGAGGUGCGAAAGCGUGGGGAGCAAACAGG
RNAcentral lists this ribosomal RNA (253 nucleotides) under uncultured bacterium. RNAcentral describes it as "partial 16S ribosomal RNA". It matches the Rfam family "Bacterial small subunit ribosomal RNA", at positions 524 to 776 of the family's 1533-position model. The record is from RNAcentral.